RNAcentral lists this transfer RNA (75 nucleotides) under Pseudocuneopsis capitata. RNAcentral describes it as "tRNA-Asn". Lineage: Eukaryota; Metazoa; Mollusca; Bivalvia; Unionida; Unionidae. The record is from RNAcentral.
UAGGGUACAAAGCUUAUAAAAGCAACUAACUGUUAAUUAGAAGAUUGCGAACAACACACUGUCGCUUACUCUAUC